GACGAACGCUGGCGGCGUGCUUAACACAUGCAAGUCGAACGGAAAGGCCUGCUUUCCCUUGUGGAUUGCGGGUACUCGAGUGGCGAACGGGUGAGUAACACGUGAGUGAUCUGCCCCCAACUUGGGUAUAAGCCCGGGAAACUGGGUCUAAUUCCCGAUAGGACUGCAGGGUGGUGCCUGUGGUGGAAAACGAUUUUCUAGUGGUUGGGGAUGAGCUCGCGGCCUAUCAGCUUGUUGGUGGGGUAAUGGCCUACCAAGGCGGCGACGGGUAGCCGGCCUGAGAGGGUGGACGGCCACAUUGGGACUGAGAUACGGCCCAGACUCCUACGGGAGGCAGCAGUGGGGAAUAUUACACAAUGGGCGGAAGCCUGAUGCAGCGACGCCGCGUGGGGGAUGACGGCCUUCGGGUUGUAAACUCCUUUCGACCGCGAGGAAGCCACCUGGUUGGAAGGGUGGUGACGGUAGUGGUAGAAGAAGCACCGGCUAACUACGUG
This 494-nucleotide ribosomal RNA is filed under the name uncultured bacterium. RNAcentral describes it as "partial 16S ribosomal RNA". It matches the Rfam family "Bacterial small subunit ribosomal RNA", at positions 28 to 507 of the family's 1533-position model. The record is from RNAcentral.